Molecule: RNA transcript, 934 nt
Organism: Pseudomyrmex gracilis
Lineage: Eukaryota; Metazoa; Arthropoda; Insecta; Hymenoptera; Formicidae
Exons: 5
Source: RefSeq, a predicted model, not a curated record
CGGUGAGUUGUCUGAACGCACCCAAUAUUUCAAAUCAGAAAGGGCAUCGGUCCUUUGAGCCAUAUAUGCACCAAACCAAUCAGAAAGGGAGUGUAUGUCACUAAAGGAUUUCUCAGUGAUAUGAUAGUGCUAACUGAUGAUAAACACAGGACAAAAUAGUUGUUCUAAUUUAUUUGACGUCUUCGUCCUCCACGAAUCAACAUAAAUAUUGGACUAUUUACAUUCCUCACAUAUUGUUCUCAACAUUGUUCUCUGAAGUAGCGAACAAAAUAUCUCUGAAAGCAAACAAAAUGUCUAAUACAGCCAAUUUGAAAUAUACUUGUAUCGCUGACCUUGUAAAAAAGGCUAAAGUUAAUAUGGCGGGAAAAGAGCCACGCAGUGUAAAUUCAAGGCUUCCCACUAUGCGACAGAAAUCUGAUGAUUUAAGAAAAGAAGGAGAUGAUGAGAAUGCUUACAUUAUGUUGCAGAGAUGGUUAGAAACAGUUGAGUGGAUAAGAAAAACUACGGACUAUAAAAAUAGCAAAUCAGUGUAUUCUACGAAUAUAAAUACUGAUCAGAUAAAUGAAGUGGAAAACAUACUUGCAGAAUUGAAGCAAAAGUUAGAGAUACGCUAUGAGUGUAAUUCCAAGAAACACAAUAUUUCUGGAGAGAAAAUGGAGAUAGAUGGAUAGAAUGGCGUAUGGAUAUUAACGGCCCUUUAGCCACUACCAAACCGAACCGAACCGGUAUUGACGGUUAAGUUUCAAAAGGAUCUCGGUUCAAAGAAGAGUUCUCGGUAUAUGACUUUGCGAGCGGAUUAUUGGAGCCCUCGAGCCGCAAAAAAGUCAAGUCAGGUUAAGACUUGUAAUAUGUAAAACAUUUUACUUUAAGGUAUUCGGAACUUGGUAUCAAUAUUAAUUAACGAGCAACACAUAAAUAUUUUUUAGAAUUUUAA